GGCCGGGUGGCGGAAUCGGCAGACGCUGGGGACUUAAAAUCCCCUCCCCGAAAGGGGGUACGGGUUCGAGCCCCGUCCCGGCCA
Molecule: transfer RNA, 84 nt
Filed under: Phycisphaerae bacterium
Lineage: Bacteria; Pseudomonadati; Planctomycetota; Phycisphaerae
Description: tRNA-Leu
Rfam family: tRNA
About the family: Transfer RNA (tRNA) molecules are approximately 80 nucleotides in length. Their secondary structure includes four short double-helical elements and three loops (D, anti-codon, and T loops). Further hydrogen bonds mediate the characteristic L-shaped molecular structure. tRNAs have two regions of fundamental functional importance: the anti-codon, which is responsible for specific mRNA codon recognition, and the 3' end, to which the tRNAs corresponding amino acid is attached (by aminoacyl-tRNA synthetases). tRNAs cope with the degeneracy of the genetic code in two manners: having more than one tRNA (with a specific anti-codon) for a particular amino acid; and 'wobble' base-pairing, i.e. permitting non-standard base-pairing at the 3rd anti-codon position.
Source: RNAcentral